This 79-nucleotide transfer RNA is filed under the name Streptomyces lavendulae subsp. lavendulae. RNAcentral describes it as "tRNA-Val". The record is from RNAcentral. Lineage: Bacteria; Bacillati; Actinomycetota; Actinomycetes; Kitasatosporales; Streptomycetaceae.
GCCGCAGCUGGUGGAACCGGCCCUGCUGCACCGGGCCAACGCCCGGGUGGGUGCCGCGUUCGGGGCCGCGGACACGGCC